This is a long non-coding RNA of Apis florea (little honeybee), 1826 nucleotides long. Lineage: Eukaryota; Metazoa; Arthropoda; Insecta; Hymenoptera; Apidae. The record is from RefSeq and is a predicted model, not a curated record.
AUGUAGUUAAAUUAAAAAUUUUUUAAAAGGAAGAUAACAAAUUUUUCAUUUUAUAUUAAUUUGAAGAAUAUUUCAUCGUGGAUAAUAUAAGAGUUAAAAAAGAAUGCGAUGAAAUAGAAUUUCAAUCUCUCGAUUAAAAUUUCAAACUUGAUUCCUGUUAUAGAAAUGGAAUCGACUUUGAAACAUAAUCACUCACAUAUCCAGAGACAUCCUGUUUUCAACGCAUCGCUACAUUCAUACGAUUAGCUUGAUUAUAUCGUAUUUACAUUAGGGCCAAGACUGGUCUCUAAUUAAGAUUAAUUCGCCUCGAGUUUCGAACGAAACGACCCAGUUAACAGGUUAAAAUUGAAGCUCCAUGCUAAAAAUCCUCGAAGGAAGAAACUUCUAGUCGAGAGAGACGAAAGAAAAAAUUAGGUUAGAAGACCAAGAGAGAAAGUGUAAACGGCAGAAAAGUUGGCUAGCCCAGGAAGUCGGUGAAGCGAGAAGGAAGAAAAAAAAAAAGAAAGAUUCGGCGGAAAGGUGAGAAGAAGAGUUGUCUAGAUCUCGAGACCAGCCACGAGGCAAAGAGGGUGCGCAGUGCGGAAAUAAUUCUGCGUCCUGCACUCGUGAAGGUCAUCUCUGGGACGAGAACACUUGACCUGCUUGCCGCCCAAGGACAAACGCCAUUUAUCCCGAUUAUUCCAUUUCUUCUCUUUUUUUAAUUAACUUUUGCUCUCCAUCCACUUAUCGAUAUUUAUAGUAUAUUUUCAUUUCCAGGGAAAAAGGAAUGGAAAAAGAUUUUGGAAUUAUUUUUUUAUCGAAACAUCAAUUAUAAACGAUUUUGCAUUCUAUGCGAAGAAAAAAAUGAAUUUUGAAAAGUCCAAGUUGUUGAAGAAAGAAUUAUUUUUUGAGAUUUUGAUUGAAGCAUCAAUAUUUACGAUAUUUUCAUUUUCUCUAAGAGAAAAAGAAUGAAGAAACGUUUUAAUAGAAUUAUUUCUUUGUCAAGAAUUCGAUAAAAGCUUCGAUGAUUAAAUGAUAUUGCACUCCACGCGAAGAAAAAUAUGAAGAAGAGUUUUGGAGAACGAGAAAGUGGAAUAUUUUAAAAUUACUUUUUUUUUUACCAGGAAUGUUUCUUGCAAGUUUCUAAGGAAUCGUUUCGAGAAUAAAGUAGAAAAAUUGAUGGAAUAAUUUAAUCUCGAUGAUUAAAGAGAAAAUACUAGACAAAAGUAAGAAGAUUCCAAGGAAUUUCCACAUCUGUGUUGAGACGAUACCGGGAAGAGUAACAAGGUUAUACUAUUUUGAGAUUUAUGGAUAGUAAAUUGAAAGACGUGAGAAGGUUGAAUAAGGGGUAAUUCAAUCACGAAGAUUAAAUUAUCGAUUUAACCGAGGAUAAAAUUUGUCCCUGGGAAUAUAGAAGAUUCGAAAAGAAUCGUAUAAUUUUCUCGAGACGUUCCCAACAGUCACAGAAUUCUAUUACGUUUAAAUUUAUCGACGAUUAAAUUGGAAACUGUAUUAUCGAUGGAGUAAUUUAAUCUCCAAGAUUAAAUGCGAAAGCUUUCGAAGAAUUCUGCGAGUUUCUCGUGGAGAAAUCAUUCCCAAAUUUUCCUUUUAAUUCGAUUUCGAUUAUUCUCAAGAGAAAAUAAACAGAUACAUUGACUAACGUCGAAUUUAUUUUAAUCUAUAACAAUAAAAAUUAUUUAUUCGUCUUAAAUAGACUUCAAUCGUCAGAAGAAUUACAUUUCCAUAGUCAUAAAAAUCAUCUCGAAACGUAUUUGUAAUUUUAUUAGUCUCAAAAAUUUAAAAAACAAUAUCAAAAUGGCGCAAUAAAGAACUGCAUUCUCCAUCUA